RNAcentral lists this ribosomal RNA (735 nucleotides) under uncultured marine bacterium. RNAcentral's name for it is "bacterial SSU rRNA". It matches the Rfam family "Bacterial small subunit ribosomal RNA", at positions 97 to 869 of the family's 1533-position model. The record is from RNAcentral.
GGCAGACGGGUGAGUAACAUGUAGGUAUCUUCCCUUUGGCCUGGAAUAACACGAGGAAACUUGUGCUAAUACUGGAUAAGUCUUUACGGAGAAAGCUUUAUGCACCAUUGGAUGAGCCUGCACUUGAUUAGUUUGUUGGUGGGGUAAUGGCCUACCAAGACUUUGAUCAAUAGCUGAUUUGAGAGGAUGAUCAGCCACAUUGGGACUGAGACACGGCCCAAACUCCUACGGGAGGCAGCAGUGGGGAAUCUUGCACAAUGGAGGAAACUCUGAUGCAGCGAUGCCGCGUGAGUGAAGAAGGCCUUUGGGUUGUAAAGCUCUUUCGUCGGGGAAGAAAAUGACUGUACCCGAAUAAGAAGGUCCGGCUAACUUCGUGCCAGCAGCCGCGGUAAUACGAAGGGACCUAGCGUAGUUCGGAAUUACUGGGCUUAAAGAGUUCGUAGGUGGUUGAAAAAGUUGGUGGUGAAAUCCCAGAGCUUAACUCUGGAACUGCCAUCAAAACUUUUCAGCUAGAGUUUGAUAGAGGAAAGCAGAAUUUCUAGUGUAGAGGUGAAAUUCGUAGAUAUUAGAAAGAAUACCAAUUGCGAAGGCAGCUUUCUGGAUCAUUACUGACACUGAGGAACGAAAGCAUGGGUAGCAAAGAGGAUUAGAUACCCUCGUAGUCCAUGCCGUGAACGAUGUGUGUUAGACGUUGGAAAUUUAUUUUCAGUGUCGCAGCGAAAGCGAUAAACACAC